This 253-nucleotide ribosomal RNA is filed under the name uncultured bacterium. RNAcentral's name for it is "partial 16S ribosomal RNA". It matches the Rfam family "Bacterial small subunit ribosomal RNA", at positions 524 to 776 of the family's 1533-position model. The record is from RNAcentral.
UACGUAGGGAGCAAGCGUUGUCCGGAAUCAUUGGGCGUAAAGCGCGCGUAGGUGGUCCCGUAAGUCCGCUGUGAAAGUCAAAGGCUCAACCUUUGAAAGCCGGUGGAUACUGUGGGACUAGAGUACGGAAGAGGCGAGUGGAAUUCCUGGUGUAGCGGUGGAAUGCGUAGAUAUCGAGAGGAACACCUGCGGCGAAGGCGGGUUGCUGGGCUGAUACUGACGCUGAGGCGCGAAAGCCAGGGGAGCGAACGGG